GUACCCCAAACCGACACAGGUGGUCGGGUAGAGAAUACCAAGGCGCUUGAGAGAACUCGGGUGAAGGAACUAGGCAAAAUGGUACCGUAACUUCGGGAGAAGGUACGCUCUCGACGGUGAAGUCCCUCGCGGAUGGAGCUAUUGAGAGUCGCAGAUACCAGGUGGCUGCAACUGUUUAUUAAAAACACAGCACUGUGCAAAAUCGUAAGAUGACGUAUACGGU
This 223-nucleotide ribosomal RNA is filed under the name Vibrio parahaemolyticus. RNAcentral describes it as "partial 23S ribosomal RNA". It matches the Rfam family "Bacterial large subunit ribosomal RNA", at positions 1644 to 1851 of the family's 2925-position model. Lineage: Bacteria; Pseudomonadati; Pseudomonadota; Gammaproteobacteria; Vibrionales; Vibrionaceae. The record is from RNAcentral.